AACGAACGCUGGCGGCAUGCCUAACACAUGCCAGUCGAACGAGACCUUCGGGUCUAGUGGCGCACGGGUGCGUAACGCGUGGGAACCUGCCUUUAGGUUCGGAAUAACUCAGAGAAAUUUGAGCUAAUACCGGAUGAUGUCUUCGGACCAAAGAUUUAUCGCCUUUAGAUGGGCCCGCGUUGGAUUAGCUAGUUGGUGGGUAAAGGCCUACCAAGGCGACGAUCCAUAGCUGGCCUGAGAGGAUGAUCAGCCACACUGGGACUGAGACACGGCCCAGACUCCUACGGGAGGCAGCAGUGGGGAAUAUUGGACAAUGGGCGAAAGCCUGAUCCAGCAAUGCCGCGUGAGUGAUGAAGGCCUUAGGGUUGUAAAGCUCUUUUACCCGAGAUGAUAAUGACAGUAGCGGGAGAAUAAGCGCCGGCUAACUCCGUG
This 432-nucleotide ribosomal RNA is filed under the name uncultured bacterium. RNAcentral describes it as "partial 16S ribosomal RNA". It matches the Rfam family "Bacterial small subunit ribosomal RNA", at positions 29 to 507 of the family's 1533-position model. The record is from RNAcentral.